UGGCUCAGAGCGAACGCUGGCGGCAGGCCUAACACAUGCAAGUCGAGCGCCCAGCAAUGGGAGCGGCAGACGGGUGAGUAACACGUGGGGAUCUACCCAAUGGUACGGAAUAACCCAGGGAAACUUGGAUUAAUACCGUAUGUGCCCUUCGGGGGAAAGAUUUAUCGCCAUUGGAUGAACCCGCGUCGGAUUAGCUAGUUGGUGAGGUAAAGGCUCACCAAGGCGACGAUCCGUAGCUGGUCUGAGAGGAUGAUCAGCCACACUGGGACUGAGACACGGCCCAGACUCCUACGGGAGGCAGCAGUGGGGAAUAUUGGACAAUGGGCGCAAGCCUGAUCCAGCCAUGCCGCGUGAGUGAUGAAGGCCUUAGGGUUGUAAAGCUCUUUCGCCGGUGAAGAUAAUGAC
RNAcentral lists this ribosomal RNA (405 nucleotides) under Xanthobacter flavus. RNAcentral's name for it is "bacterial SSU rRNA". It matches the Rfam family "Bacterial small subunit ribosomal RNA", at positions 20 to 455 of the family's 1533-position model. Lineage: Bacteria; Pseudomonadati; Pseudomonadota; Alphaproteobacteria; Hyphomicrobiales; Xanthobacteraceae. The record is from RNAcentral.